Molecule: ribosomal RNA, 497 nt
Filed under: uncultured bacterium
Lineage: Bacteria
Description: partial 16S ribosomal RNA
Rfam family: Bacterial small subunit ribosomal RNA
Source: RNAcentral
GAUGAACGCUGGCGGCGUGCCUAAUACAUGCAAGUCGAGCGAACGGACGAGAAGCUUGCUUUUCUGAUGUUAGCGGCGGACGGGUGAGUAACACGUGGAUAACCUACCUAUAAGACUGGGAUAACUUCGGGAAACCGGAGCUAAUACCGGAUAAUAUUUUGAACCGCAUGGUUCAAAAGUGAAAGACGGUCUUGCUGUCACUUAUAGAUGGAUCCGCGCUGCAUUAGCUAGUUGGUAAGGUAACGGCUUACCAAGGCAACGAUGCAUAGCCGACCUGAGAGGGUGAUCGGCCACACUGGAACUGAACCCCGGUCCAGACUCCUACGGGAGGCAGCAGUAGGGAAUCUUCCGCAAUGGGCGAAAGCCUGACGGAGCAACGCCGCGUGAGUGAUGAAGGUCUUCGGAUCGUAAAACUCUGUUAUUAGGGAAGAACAUAUGUGUAAGUAACUGUGCACAUCUUGACGGUACCUAAUCAGAAAGCCACGGCUAACUACGUG